ACCGGGCAAUUAAAUAAGUAUUUAACGAGAGAACGUUUGAGCGGUUUUCUUUGAAAAUUUUAAGGAGUUUGCUUCGUACUAUGCAGAAAAGUCACCGUUCGCACAAAAAUCCGCACAACCGUUAUCGUGUAAAAGAUGCAAUUGCCAAAUUAUGGCAAUAGCCGAUCUGACUUGGUCCCUUUCUGCUUCACGCGCAAUUGAGGGUGGCUUAACUGUUUUUCCCUGACACUUUCUUCAUAUUGCAGGUUCUCACUGACUUUUUACGGUAUUCCCUGAAUGCCAACCCUCCAAACGUAAUAAAAACCCAUGCAAGUGAUUGAAUAAAACUUAAGUUUUUGUGCUCGAUUUAUCAAGUGCGAUACCCGCACCUCAUUUCUAGAGCCUUUUCCAGGGUGGCAAAAUUUCAUGAAAAUAAAACCUUGAAAUUUCACGUGAAAUAUUUCAUGAAAUGUCAGAAAUGUAUGAAACAUACCGGUUCCUUUUCAUGUUUCGCAAGAAGUAAAGAUUGCGACUGUAUUUUUGUGUGUUAGAGUGCGGGUUGCCUACUCUAGCCCCUAAAAAUAAGAAAUAUUACACCGUCUCGUGAAAUUUCAUGAAAUGUUUCACUGAAAUUCCGAUCUUUCAUUUCUACGUUUCUCGCCACCCUGACAUUUUCCCAUGGUCGGUAACACGGAGGCACUCGGGGGAAUUCACCGAGGCUUUCGGCUACUUAUUUCAAGCAACUAACGAGUAGAAACACAAAAAACCAGACGAAAAAAUGUUUUCCCGUGAAACAUUUUUGACGCGCGUUGAGUGAUACCUCAGCACGAGAGGGGAAAAUUUUUGCGAAAAUUAAACGCGUCAUGGCGAAACGGCCGAAUGCGUGACGUGACUCGGUGAACGAGGCCUUUAAAAGGGCUCUGUCUGUGAGUAUCGCUGCAAGUUUCUGUGCAGUGCUGUGAUAUACGCGACUUCACCAUGAGUUCGCCCAUGGGUGUAUUCUGCUGGUGUUUCCUUGCUCUUGCGGUUUGGCAUGUCAGCGCUAUCGAAAACCCCAACACCAAGGACAAGGAUGACGACAAGUACCUAACGGACGAGGAAGCUGUGCAGUACAUAAAAGACCACCCAAAUUCCGUGAGGAACUUCGACUUCGUCCCCAUGGAUUUGGCGGCCAGCAGCUUGACGGGCGCCCAAGACUUGCCGGAAACCAUCGACGACCGACGCCCCCUUCAGGACAACAGGCGCCCCCUCCAGGACGACCAACGCCAACAGAGCCCUCUCAAACGACAGCAGUCUCUUAGUGCGGAAGAGAAGCGCGCUUUCCUCAAGCGACAACAGUCCCGUCUCGCAGCCGACGGGCGCUCCAAUACCAAGCUUCCGAGAAAGAACUCCGGCACCAAACUGGCAGGCUCCCCAAAAAGAACAGACACGCAGAAACUCAGAGCCGCCGCCGGUCUCAACAGGUCCCCCAGCAUCAAGUCCGCGAGCCUUACCAAGUCCGGAACCCUCAAAAAGUCAGGAAACUCUCAAGGGCGCCCGUCCCCAAGACGAGCGGCGGCGCCUGCAGCCUAGGGCGCCCACUGCACCGCCUGGAACCACGAUCGUAGAGUACAUGGGACCGUUUUGUUAGCCGGUAGAUUUCCCCCCAGGAGAAGCCUUGUAAUUCGACGGUGAAACUACCAGACCACGUAUCUCGUUUGCGGUGUUUAGAAAUCUCCACUCCUAUUUAUUUUUUUGAAAGAGAACAAAUCAAUAUCAUUCCUUGAAAUUUGCACAGAGUUUUCUUUGUACAGAGAAGAAAAAACAGGGAAAUUUCCAAGAAUUUACGUUCAGUCUUUUCUAUUUAAAAAUAAAGUACGGCAGGAAGUCCGCAACGUCGCAAACCGAGAUACGUGGUUUGGUAGUUUCACCGUCGGUAUGUUUUAUCGUGAUUAAGGAAUGUUAAAUGACGCCUUUAACGUAGCAUCAUGUGAAGGAAGAUUAUUACAAAACUUGGGUCAAGUUCAACAGCGCGACUUGAGAGAUGGAUUCUUACGAAUGAUGACGAUGAUUGACCUCUUCACAAAUUACGAAAUUAAGUCAGUGGAUUUUGUUAAACUUUAACGUAGGCGCAAACAUGGCUUGAAAUUUUCUUUCGUGUUUUAAAAUCAAAUCAUGUCAAUCGUUUAAUGGUAUCUAUUUUCUCGAAUAAGCCGUUGAGUAUUACUCAAGAUUGUUAAAAAUUAUGCUUCUUAUGAUGCGACAGUGAAUAAUCUUUGAACCUCCCAUAAUAGCAAUGAUGACCGCUACACUGGUAAAAAAACAUAUUGGAUCUAGAUUCCAGACUCUUGAAAACAUUGACAAGAAAAUGGACUCUUGAUUCAAUCAGAUUUAAGCUAAAAUCAAGAACCAAGCCUCUUAAUUUGAGUGGAUUUCCUCUUGAUUUAAGCUUAAAUCUGAUUGAAUCGAGAGUCCAGACUCUUGAAAACAUUGACAAGUAAAUGGACACUUGAUUCAAUCAGAUUUAAGCUUAAAUCAAGAACCAUGCCUCUUAAUUUGAGCAAAUUUUCUCUUGAUUUAAGCUUAAAUCUGAUUGAACCAAGAGUCGAUUUUCAUGUCAAUGUUUUCAAGAGCCUGGACUGUAGACCUACUGUGUUUUUUUUUACUAGUGUAGGUCGCAUUCGCAUUUACCCCCCCCCCCCCCCCCCCAAAAAAAAAAAAACAAACAAAAAAUUUAUUUCAGGAGGGAUUAUUGAGGCGGCCUUUAUAGUCGUGAUAUGAAUAGGGGAUCUGUCGACUAUAUUUCAAGCGAUUUCUAACCUCCGAAUUCCGAGACUUCUGUGCGAAUUCCGAUAACUACUACACUUUGCAAGAGGGAUCUAUUAUUUCUAGCUCAUCUAUUUAAGCACCUAAUUGCGUAUGGAAACUUGUGGCGCAUACCUUGCUUCAAAAUAAGCCAGAGAUAGUGGUUCCUUAGUGCAGAACUUGAUCCAUAUGAUAUCGAUCCUUCUAAAUACUCUUGACGCGAGGAACAAAUUCUAUUUCGUGUUCCAAAAGUGGUUUAAUUAGUGUCUUAUUUGGUCUCGUCGUUUCACCAAUUUCAAAGGCUGUUCAUUACUGAAGCCAAUCGCAAUGACUUUUAACAUCGCCAUUGUCAUCCGAAAUAAUAUUGGAACCGGUACAAAACGCCCAGCGCACUCAUGGCUUGGAUUUUGUGAGACAAAACCCAAGUCUUGUUGGCGACAUUUUGAAAUAAGGCACUUCAAUUUCCGGUUCAUACAGAAAAGCGCCUAUACGCAUCGGAACACUAGCACGUAUGUUGUGUUCAUAAUGAGCUAAAAAUUUUAAUUCCUAAUUUCAAAGAGUGGUCCAGUCUGCGGACGGCUGAAAAUCGCGACGAUGUUGACCGCUAUUCCAUCGCUGAUCAAUUAUCUGCGCCAUUGAAGGACUGGGUUCGAGCCUGCUGAAAAGGAAGGAUCAGCAUGCGUAUAGUUCGAGUUGAGAAAAUGAGUUUUCCGUUUUAUAGUCAUAGUUUGAAAUUAGGUUUCGCAACUUCUGAUCAACGGUGGGCACAAAAGAUUUGGACCCAGACAAUAACUUCAGAGCUCCUUUCCUUACGUUGCGUUUCUUAAAUCUCAUGUACUCUACAACCGCUACCUACGGCAAUACGAUUAACACACGGAGAUUUCCCGGGCACCGAUGGUGCUGUGCAUACACUGGAUUACGAUCGACUUCUAGCAUAGAAUAUGUUUUUGAUGCAUUUACCCUUGUCAGACAGACAACCUUUUUGUACGAAUACAGUCCAAUUUCCGCGAGUGGAUUCGGGUUAGGUCUUAACCUGCACUAUUACCAUCCUCCGUUACAAACAAUUCAAUUUUUGGCGUGUUAUGAGUAUUUCGUGGAUACCAACCUUCCUUGCCUAAAAGUGAACCGGAUUCACCCAGCGGAUAUUUGACUUGAUCAACAAAGGCUUUUUGUACACCCGUUUUUGAAAUACAUUGGUUUAUCGCACGAUGAAACUUUUUGAGUUAUUUUCACACUUGUUUUCUGAAGAUAAAGAAGGUUGAUGAACGUUCAGUUUCAUACCCGAGGAUUAAAGUCCAAUAUAAAAUGUUCGGAGCAAAAAGAAGUUCCUUCAGAGGGGGAGUUCAGCAAUGAAUACGACAUCAACGUUUGUACAGUUUCACACCCUCGAAUCAAAGUCUUUACAGAAUGUUUGGAACAAGAUGAAGCCCCUUCAGUGGAAGAGUUCAGCAAUCAAUGCGACAUACACGUGUUGAUAGUUGCAUACCCACGAAUCUGCGGGUACUGAUGAUGCUGCGUGUAUUCUGGAAUACGCUCAACAACGUCUGGGACUAUUCAUUAUAUCCGAUCUUUCAGACGAGUCUUUCUGUACGAGUGCGUCGACGGCUGUUACAAUACGGCUCUUUCAGUAAUAAAAAAACCAUGACGCUCUUACGUUCGUAAAACGUUCGAUUGACGUUCGCAGUUUUUUGUAGA
Molecule: long non-coding RNA, 4458 nt
Filed under: Bemisia tabaci
Lineage: Eukaryota; Metazoa; Arthropoda; Insecta; Hemiptera; Aleyrodidae
Description: lncRNA ENSSSA3NGG011939
Source: RNAcentral